UACGAAGGGGGCUAGCGUUGUUCGGAAUUACUGGGCGCAAAGCGCGCGCAGGUGGUCUUUCAAGUCAGUGGUGAAAGCCCGGAGCUCAACUCCGGAAAUGCCAUUGAAACUGUGAGACUUGAGGACGAGAGAGGUGAGUGGAAUUCCCAGUGUAGAGGUGAAAUGCGCAGAUAUCGGGAAGAACACCCGUGGCGAAGGCGGCUCUCUGGGACGGUACUGACGCUGAGACGCGAAAGCGUGGGGAGCGAACAGG
This 253-nucleotide ribosomal RNA is filed under the name uncultured prokaryote. RNAcentral describes it as "partial 16S ribosomal RNA". It matches the Rfam family "Bacterial small subunit ribosomal RNA", at positions 524 to 776 of the family's 1533-position model. The record is from RNAcentral.